UUCCUACGGGGGGCAGCAGCCGCGGUAAUACGGAGGAUGCGAGCGUUAUCCGGAUUUAUUGGGUUUAAAGGGUGCGCAGGCGGCCUGUUAAGUCAGCGGUAAAAGCCCGGGGCUCAACCCCGGCGAGCCGUUGAAACUGGCGGGCUGGAGUUGGAGAGAAGUACGCGGAAUGCGCGGUGUAGCGGUGAAAUGCUUAGAUAUCGCGCAGAACCCCGAUUGCGAAGGCAGCGUACCGGCUCCACACUGACGCUGAGGCACGAAAGCGUGGGUAUCGAACAGGAUUAGAUACCCGAGUAGUCCAUGAC
Molecule: ribosomal RNA, 305 nt
Filed under: uncultured bacterium
Lineage: Bacteria
Description: bacterial SSU rRNA
Rfam family: Bacterial small subunit ribosomal RNA
Source: RNAcentral